CAGCCGCCGCGGUAACACGUAGGGCGCAAGCGUUAUCCGGAAUUAUUGGGCGUAAAGAGCUCGUAGGCGGUUUGUCGCGUCUGCCGUGAAAGUCCGGGGCUCAACCCCGGAUCUGCGGUGGGUACGGGCAGACUAGAGUGAUGUAGGGGAGACUGGAAUUCCUGGUGUAGCGGUGAAAUGCGCAGAUAUCAGGAGGAACACCGAUGGCGAAGGCAGGUCUCUGGGCAUUAACUGACGCUGAGGAGCGAAAGCAUGGGGAGCGAACAGGAUUAGAGACCCCUGUAGUCCCUGUCUCUUAUAA
This 301-nucleotide ribosomal RNA is filed under the name uncultured bacterium. RNAcentral's name for it is "partial 16S ribosomal RNA". It matches the Rfam family "Bacterial small subunit ribosomal RNA", at positions 509 to 809 of the family's 1533-position model. The record is from RNAcentral.